RNAcentral lists this ribosomal RNA (620 nucleotides) under uncultured Microbacterium sp. Its description in RNAcentral is "bacterial SSU rRNA". It matches the Rfam family "Bacterial small subunit ribosomal RNA", at positions 431 to 1062 of the family's 1533-position model. Lineage: Bacteria; Bacillati; Actinomycetota; Actinomycetes; Micrococcales; Microbacteriaceae. The record is from RNAcentral.
CUCUUUCAGCAGGGACGAAGCUUACGUGACGGUACCUGCAGAAGAAGCGCCGGCUAACUACGUGCCAGCAGCCGCGGUAAUACGUAGGGUGCAAGCGUUGUCCGGAAUUAUUGGGCGUAAAGAGCUCGUAGGCGGUCUGUCGCGUCGGCUGUGAAAACUCGGGGCUCAACUCCGAGCCUGCAGUCGAUACGGGCAGACUAGAGUGCGGUAGGGGAGACUGGAAUUCCUGGUGUAGCGGUGAAAUGCGCAGAUAUCAGGAGGAACACCGGUGGCGAAGGCGGGUCUCUGGGCCGUAACUGACGCUGAGGAGCGAAAGCGUGGGGAGCAAACAGGAUUAGAUACCCUGGUAGUCCACCCCGUAAACGUUGGGAACUAGUUGUGGGGUCCUUUCCACGGAUUCCGUGACGCAGCUAACGCAUUAAGUUCCCCGCCUGGGGAGUACGGCCGCAAGGCUAAAACUCAAAGGAAUUGACGGGGACCCGCACAAGCGGCGGAGCAUGCGGAUUAAUUCGAUGCAACGCGAAGAACCUUACCAAGGCUUGACAUACACGAGAACGGGCCAGAAAUGGUCAACUCUUUGGACACUCGUGAACAGGUGGUGCAUGGUUGUCGUCAGCUCG